This 840-nucleotide ribosomal RNA is filed under the name uncultured archaeon. RNAcentral describes it as "bacterial SSU rRNA". It matches the Rfam family "Archaeal small subunit ribosomal RNA", at positions 83 to 922 of the family's 1478-position model. The record is from RNAcentral.
UUACGGCUCAGUAACACGUGGAUAACCUGCCCUUAGGUUCGGCAUAACUCCGGGAAACUGGUGAUAAUUCCGAAUAAACCAUUAUUGCUGGAAUGCUUUUUGGUUCAAAGGCUUCGGCUGCCUAAGGAUGGAUCUGCGGUCUAUCAGGUAGUAGUGGGUGUAAGGUACCUACUAGCCUACGACGGAUAUGGGUUGUGAGAGCAAGAGCCCAGGGAUGGAUUCUGAGACAUGAAUCCAGGCCCUACGGGGCGCAGCAGGCGCGAAAACUUUACAAUGCGGGAAACCGCGAUAAGGGGACACCGAGUGCCAGCAUAUUAUGUUGGCUGUCCACAUGUGUAAACGGCAUGUGUUAGCAAGGGCCGGGCAAGACCGGUGCCAGCCGCCGCGGUAACACCGGCGGCCCGAGUGGUAAUCACUUUUAUUGGGUCUAAAGGGUCCGUAGCCGGUUUGAUCAGUUCUUCGGGAAAUCUGACAGCUUAACUGUUAGGCUUCUGGGGAAUACUGUCAGACUUGGGACCGGGAGAGGUAAGAGGUACUACAGGGGUAGGAGUGAAAUCUUGUAAUCCCUGUGGGACCACCAGUGGCGAAGGCGUCUAACCAGAACGGGUCCGACGGUGAGGGACGAAAGCUGGGGGCACGAACCGGAUUAGAUACCCGGGUAGUCCCAGCCGUAAACGAUGUUCGCUAGGUGUCAGGGACGGUGCGACCGUUUCUGGUGCCGUAGGGAAGCCGUGAAGCGAACCACCUGGGAAGUACGGCCGCAAGGCUGAAACUUAAAGGAAUUGGCGGGGGAGCACUACAACGGGUGGAGCCUGCGGUUUAAUUGGAUUCAACGCCGGG